AGGGAAGAAUGGAAACUCUAUGGGAAAUAUGGGAAAAGCAAUCCUGGACAGCUUCAAGGAGCAAGGCAAACUUGAGCUCAGCCUUCAAGCAUGGGUAGAAUUUGGACUCAAGGAAGGACACAGGGAAUAUUAAAAGCAAAGAAGCUCUUUAUGACUACCAAUGAAGACAUUAACCUGACCAGAGAGGAGGAUACAGAGCUGAGAGAUGGAUCGGCCUUCCCCGUGGAGCACUCUGAGACAUGUCAUAGCUCAUUGACAUCUCGCAAUACAGGUCAAAAAGGUUCUGUCAAUAGAAGAUACUAAAGAAAGAAAGCCAGGAGAAGAAAAGGGACUUCUUUCUUCAAGGUCUAAGCUGUUCUAAUAGCAUUAUUCUGGGAAUGGCAUCUUCCACUCCUCCUAGUACAAAGAACCUGCUUCCUCAUACCCCGUCAAGGAACUGCAGCAUCCAGGUGAUGGCCACAGUGGCAGAACCUAGGAAGCCAAGAAGAAACCAGAGAAUGGAGACACAUGGCAGCAAUGGCAAGUCAUCAGACCCAGGAUUUCCCAAAGAACACUGGUCCAGGAAGAUGCUCUGUGAAAAAGUGUUCCCUGGUCGGAGAAAUUUGUGAAACACUUUGCAUAAUACUUAAAAGAAUGUAUGGCACAUCAAAGGUAAUAUGCAAUAAAAGAAUUCAUUUUUUUAAAA
This 685-nucleotide long non-coding RNA is filed under the name Homo sapiens (human). Its description in RNAcentral is "long intergenic non-protein coding RNA 1905". The record is from RNAcentral. Lineage: Eukaryota; Metazoa; Chordata; Mammalia; Primates; Hominidae.